CGCGUAGGUGGCCCGGUCAGUUCGUGGUGAAAGCGCGGGGCUCAACUCCGCGUCGGCCAUGAAUACUGCUGGGCUUGAGCACUGCAGAGGCAGGCGGAAUUCCGGGUGUAGCGGUGGAAUGCGUAGAGAUCCGGAAGAACACCGGUGGCGAAGGCGGCCUGCUGGGCAGUGGCUGACACUGAGGCGCGACAGCGUGGGGAGCAAACA
This 207-nucleotide ribosomal RNA is filed under the name uncultured bacterium. RNAcentral's name for it is "partial 16S ribosomal RNA". It matches the Rfam family "Bacterial small subunit ribosomal RNA", at positions 568 to 774 of the family's 1533-position model. The record is from RNAcentral.